AGCCUUAUAUUCAAUAAUGAUAUGAAAUUGCAAAUUUUAAGGAGUAAAAUAUAUACUAAGGCUU
RNAcentral lists this transfer RNA (64 nucleotides) under Ophiusa tirhaca. RNAcentral's name for it is "tRNA-Cys". Lineage: Eukaryota; Metazoa; Arthropoda; Insecta; Lepidoptera; Erebidae. The record is from RNAcentral.